This 1793-nucleotide long non-coding RNA is filed under the name Malus domestica (apple). Its description in RNAcentral is "long non-coding RNA (MDOM_LNC012987)". Lineage: Eukaryota; Viridiplantae; Streptophyta; Magnoliopsida; Rosales; Rosaceae. The record is from RNAcentral.
UUGUUGAAAUGUCCCACAUCGACCGUAUCAAUGACAAAAGAAGAGUUUAAAUAUCCUAACCCCACUCUAACUAAUACCGAGGCCUUUUGUGAUAAAACCCCACACCUGACGGAUUGUACAGGUGGUAAUUACCAAGUUGGGGACAAUAUCGGUGUUGUUGGAAGUGGGUCGUAUGGCCCGUCUCUCUGAUAAUUCUACAUGGUAUCAGAGCCAGGGAGCGGGCCCGUACUGUACUGCCACGUGAUGGGUGGGUCCCCUUGGCCCCGCGCGAUGAUGGUGGGUCCCUUGGCCCCGCGCGAUGAUGGUGGGUCCCUUGGCCCCGCGUGUAGGGUGAGCCCCCUUGGCUCCACGUGGUUGUCGAUGUGUGGAUCUCCUACGUGUGACCUGCUAAUUGGGUCCCACGUGAGGGGGCGUGUUGAAAUGUCCCACAUCGACCGUAUCAAUGACAAAAGAAGAGUUUAAAUAUCCUAACCCCACUCUAACUAAUACCGAGGCCUUUUGUGAUAAAACCCCACACCUGACGGAUUGUACAGGUGGUAAUUACCAAGUUGGGGACAAUAUCGGUGUUGUUGGAAGUGGGUCGUAUGGCCCGUCUCUCUGAUAAUUCUACAAAACUAACCGUAGGGGGCAAAUCGGCUAAAAAAAUUAGUUUGAGUCUUAAUUUUCCAAUACAAAAGUUCAAGGGGUAAAUUGAUAGUUUACUCUAAAAUUUAAUGUAUUGACUUUCAUUAUAUUUUACGUGCGCAUGCGGUAAUUAAUUAAUUGAAUUUUUUUAUUAAAACGUAUUUAAAAAUAAUAAACUUACUAAUCGCACGCAGUAUAUGACACACCCCGACCGAGAUCGAGGCAUGCUGGCCAUCACGUGAGUGUGACGUAGCCAUGUGCACAGUGCAGAAGCAAUAAUGAUAAUAGAGAGUACGAAUAAAUGAAAACCAACUCAUAAGAGUACUAGUUAAGACAAGUGCUAGAAUAUGUGUGAAUACACAAUCAGAGCGUAAGUAGCAUAAGUUCAGUCCAGAAAACAAGUACUAGUUAAACGAAACCCAAAGAUGCCCUACAUUUGUGAUAACCUGUUGAUGCGAAAAUUAUCUUAACACACAAAUUUAACCCUCUUUUGACAAUUGUAGUACAAGUAUAAGUAGGGAUCGUUCUGGACCGGGGAUUAGGAGGGCUUGCUAAUAACCUCUAAACUGACUCAAAAACAUAAAACUAAACUUAAAAACACUUAACAAGACUCACAAGACUUAAAGCAAACUUAAAAUACUCAAAACAGCUUAAAACAACUAAAUAAACUUAAACUAGACACUAGGAAUGACUCUGGACAAAAAUUGACUUUUACUUGAAUCAAAACACUUAAAAAUACAAACUAAAAUAGAUUUGAAACACUUUGAAACAAGAAACUAAAUGGGGGGUUUUGAUUUGGAUGAAAUUGAAACAAACAAACAAGUAUGAAAAACUAGACAGAUUGUAAAACAAAUUUGAGAAAUAAGAUGAUGGAUGGGAUAGCUAGAGGCUUUUUCUCCACAUAUGACAUGUAUGCAAAUAAUUCGAUUUCCAGUUACUACUUCAUUGAAUUAUGAACGACAAUGCUCCAAAUUAACCGUGACAUCACCAGUUAACUCUAAGAUUUUCCUUGUUUUAUUGGAUUGGAUGACAUCAUUCGACAACCCAAAACAUUCUUCUAAAGUUCCCUACAUGACAUCAUAAUAGAGAUACAAUCAAAGCUCAUUACGUUUAAUGAAAAUCAUAAGCAUUGACAAAGCACUUGCAACUAUGACAUCAUGUCACUCAUG